CUUAAGUCAAGAACCAAAUGAAGCACCAGAGUACAGAUUAUGGAGGUUCCUUGUAAAGAUUAACCCAGGGAAGGAUCGAAAGUGGAGAAGACCAGAUCAAGAAAGACUACAUCAAGAUCUGCGGUCAGUUCAAAGGAUGUUUUGCAUUGGACUGUUUUUUUUUUGGCUUUGACCCUUGCUUGCCCCUGACCUCACUCUUGGACUGCCCUGUUGGAUUUUCAGUUUAUUUAAUUUAAAAAAAAAAUUUUGGUUCUGGGUAGAUGCUAAUAAAUAUUUAAUUGUAAUUAUUUAAU
RNAcentral lists this long non-coding RNA (293 nucleotides) under Danio rerio (zebrafish). RNAcentral's name for it is "lncRNA si:dkey-118j18.3 (ENSDARG00000096455.3)". The record is from RNAcentral. Lineage: Eukaryota; Metazoa; Chordata; Actinopteri; Cypriniformes; Danionidae.